AUGAACGCUGGCGGCGUGCCUAAUACAUGCAAGUCGAGCGAACGGACGAGAAGCUUGCUUCUCUGAUGUUAGCGGCGGACGGGUGAGUAACACGUGGAUAACCUACCUAUAAGACUGGGAUAACUUCGGGAAACCGGAGCUAAUACCGGAUAAUAUUUUGAACCGCAUGGUUCAAAAGUGAAAGACGGUCUUGCUGUCACUUAUAGAUGGAUCCGCGCUGCAUUAGCUAGUUGGUAAGGUACCGGCUUACCAAGGCAACGAUGCAUAGCCGACCUGAGAGGGUGAUCGGCCACACUGGAACUGAGACACGGUCCAGACUCCUACGGGAGGCAGCAGUAGGGAAUCUUCCGCAAUGGGCGAAAGCCUGACGGAGCAACGCCGCGUGAGUGAUGAAGGUCUUCGGAUCGUAAAACUCUGUUAUUAGGGAAGAACAUAUGUGUAAGUAACUGUGCACAUCUUGACGGUACCUAAUCAGAAAGCCACGGCUAACUACGUG
RNAcentral lists this ribosomal RNA (496 nucleotides) under uncultured bacterium. RNAcentral describes it as "partial 16S ribosomal RNA". It matches the Rfam family "Bacterial small subunit ribosomal RNA", at positions 29 to 507 of the family's 1533-position model. The record is from RNAcentral.